UUGUGAGGUUAAGCGACUAAGCGUACACGGUGGAUGCCCUGGCAGUCAGAGGCGAUGAAGGACGUGCUAAUCUGCGAUAAGCGUCGGUAAGGUGAUAUGAACCGUUAUAACCGGCGAUUUCCGAAUGGGGAAACCCAGUGUGUUUCGACACACUAUCAUUAACUGAAUCCAUAGGUUAAUGAGGCGAACCGGGGGAACUGAAACAUCUAAGUACCCCGAGGAAAAGAAAUCAACCGAGAUUCCCCCAGUAGCGGCGAGCGAACGGGGAGCAGCCCAGAGCCUGAAUCAGUAUGUGUGUUAGUGGAAGCGUCUGGAAAGGCGCGCGAUACAGGGUGACAGCCCCGUACACAAAAAUGCACAUGCUGUGAGCUCGAUGAGUAGGGCGGGACACGUGGUAUCCUGUCUGAAUAUGGGGGGACCAUCCUCCAAGGCUAAAUACUCCUGACUGACCGAUAGUGAACCAGUACCGUGAGGGAAAGGCGAAAAGAACCCCGGCGAGGGGAGUGAAAAAGAACCUGAAACCGUGU
RNAcentral lists this ribosomal RNA (527 nucleotides) under Escherichia coli. RNAcentral describes it as "partial 23S ribosomal RNA". It matches the Rfam family "Bacterial large subunit ribosomal RNA", at positions 1 to 561 of the family's 2925-position model. The record is from RNAcentral. Lineage: Bacteria; Pseudomonadati; Pseudomonadota; Gammaproteobacteria; Enterobacterales; Enterobacteriaceae.